CAAUUUUUUUCCACUUCUAAUCUUCGCAAACCAUAAAGAAAGAAAUUAAUUCGCAGUUGGAUCGGGAAGAAGGAAGCGACGGAACUCUUGAGAGAGAGAGAGAGAGAGAGAGAGAGAGAGAGAGAGAGAGAAGGAAGAGGAGACGAGUAGUAUAUCGCGCUGUGCUGUGCUGUGGAUCUACUGAUCUAGAGAAAGAUUAAUUUGGAUUCGGGGAGGCUUAUAGUUUCCAUUCCAUGCAGAAGAUGGAAGAUUGGAACCAAGCGGAGAUUGAAGACAUUGUUUUUGGUAAUAUUGGUGAAAACAAUGAUCAGAUAUUCUCUGACAGAGGCGGUAAACAAGUGGAAGAGUCUCUAGCACCAGGCAAUUUCAUUGUUGCUCAACAAAGUAAUAAGACUAAUAUUGGAAACAGUGCAGGGAGCAAAGUGUCAAAGAACAAAGAUGCCAUUUGGAGAAAACAAGGAACAAACAUCUGCUCUUCUCUUGAAAAUGAAAGCUCCAAUGUAGCAAAAGGGGAUUGUCAAGGCAAUACAGUUUCACAAAGCAAGAUGUGCAGCUCAAGCAAUCCUGCUACAAGGAAUGCUGAGGAAGAAAUGGGCAUCUGCCAAUUGCCAUUUGAGAAUAAUAGCUCAGUUGAUUCAAAAGUUACUUUUUUGGCAAAUGAAAAUGAUCUGUAUUAUGGCUGGUCGGAUAUCAGCAGUUUUGACGACGUUGAUAAAAUGUUCAGAAAUUGUGACCCCACCUUUGGGCAAUGGAGCAAUACAGAUGGGCCUUCAUGGAUAUCUUCCUCAGAAGACAUGUAUGGUCCAGAAGAUAAGUUUACCUCAACCUUCAAAUCUUCAACUCUAGAAUUCAAAGAAUUGGAGAAUGCAUCAGUGUAUUGUGAAAACAGUCGGUGCUUGGAUGAAUGUAGUAAACCACAGGUUGAUACUCAUAGGCAAUCUUGUUUGACCUGCCCGUCCUUCAAGUCAAGUGCAGUACAGGCAUAUGAUGGUGGUGGAGGGGAAGAUAAUAAAUCAUCUCUGACACCAUGUAGCACUAAUAACUUGGUCGAACAUGAGCCACAGAUAGACAUUCAAACCCAGCAGCAGCUCAAUAGACAAUUCUUAUCUGAUGCGAAAGGAAAAGGUCUUGCAACUUAUCCUGCUCAGCUUCAUUCAAAACGAGAUUGUAUUGCGAAAUCAGACUGUUCAAGUUUAACGCUAUCCUUAAAUCCCGAUUUUCAUGUGGACAACAAACUUCUAUACCAGGAUCUUCUUUUGCAGUCAGCAUCCGGCACUGUUACUGAUUGUAAACAAGAUCCUUCCUCAUCAUUUGAAGUCUCAGCUCAUGUUAUCAAUAACUCUUCCCAUGGAAUGGGGAAAGUACCUGAUGCUUUGUUAAACAAUCCUGUCAUGAAGCUGGAAGAAAUGGUAGAUAGCCCAAACAUAAGAUCACUAGAGCUGGGUAAUUCUGUUAGGAAACAGCAUGCUAAUUUUGGCCAAAACAUUCAUAAUGACCGAGGGAAUACAAGCAUAGAGAUUCAUGAAAAAGAUAUGGAUCCUGCAGUAGGAAAAAACUCAUUAAUGCCUUCGAUCUUCCUUGAUAAUCUUUCUGUCAAAGUUAUCAGUUUCCAGCAGCUCCAGGGUGUCAUUGGCCAGGUUUGUUUACUGCAGUUGGAAUAUAGAACAAAGCUUUGUAUAAGGGACAGCCUAUAUCGAUUGGCCAGGAGUGCAGAACAGAGACAUAAUUGUGCUGCUGCAAAUGCUGAAGGUGUUGAUCAUGGAAGAGAAAUACAUGGUACAGGAACAUCAAACAGAUCUGUCGAAUAUAUGGGCAUAGAGACUGAGAGUAAUCCCAUUGAUCGGUCUGUAGCGCGCCUACUUUUCUACAGAGCACCAGAGACUGCAACCCGUUGAUGAUGCUACAUCAUUCGUCUCACAUGAAUGUACGACCUACAUAUGUUGAUCUUGCUUACCGUCAUUUCAUGCUGGGAACUUCUUACACCCGGCUCAAAUAUUGUAUAUAUUGAGUGAUGUCAAUGCCAUUUAUUUAUUGUUGAAUCGUCUCCGUAGGCGGUCAUAUUCCAAGUAUCCUUCAUGUUUGCGUGCCCUGUGUGGGAGUAAGUAAUCACGAUGCGGUUUGAGCUUUUGUAUUUGAAGUAAUAGAAGCACAGAAU
This is an RNA transcript of Zingiber officinale, 2155 nucleotides long. It is a transcript of the gene named protein LNK1-like, with no coding region annotated. The transcript is spliced from 11 exons. The record is from RefSeq and is a predicted model, not a curated record. Lineage: Eukaryota; Viridiplantae; Streptophyta; Magnoliopsida; Zingiberales; Zingiberaceae.